This 495-nucleotide ribosomal RNA is filed under the name uncultured bacterium. Its description in RNAcentral is "bacterial SSU rRNA". It matches the Rfam family "Bacterial small subunit ribosomal RNA", at positions 30 to 507 of the family's 1533-position model. The record is from RNAcentral.
AUGAACGCUAGCGGCAGGCUUAAUACAUGCAAGUUGAGGGGCAGCAUGAUAUACGCGAGUAUAUUGAUGGCGACCGGCGGACGGGUGAGUAAUAGGUAGGAGACCUACCUCAUACAGGGGGAUAGCAUAGAGAAAUCUGUGGUAAUACCCCAUUGAGGUUAUAUGAAUAGAGGCAUAUAAUCAAAGCAUAAGCGAUUAUGCGGUAUGAGAGGGGCCUACUGACCAUUAGCUAGUUGGUGAGGUAAGGGCUCACCAAGGCGAAGAUGGUUAGGGGUUUUGAGAGAGAGACCCCCCACAUUGGAACUGAGAGACGGUCCAGACUCCUACGGGAGGCAGCAGUAGGGAAUAUUGGGCAAUGGGCGAAAGCCUGACCCAGCCAUGCCGCGUGAAGGAAGACGGCCUUAUGGGUUGUAAACUUCUUUACUACGCGAAUAGAGGUUAGUACGAGAUACUAAUAGGAAGGUAGUGUAGUAAAAAGCACCGGCUAACUCCGUG